UACAGAGGUGGCAAGCGUUGUUCGGAAUUACUGGGCGUAAAGGGCGCGUAGGCGGCCAUCUAAGUCAGACGUGAAAUCCCCGGGCUUAACCUGGGAACUGCGCUUCUAACUGGCAGGCUUGAGUGUGGCAGAGGGGGGUGGAAUUCCACGUGUAGCAGUGAAAUGCGUAGAGAUGUGGAGGAACACCGAUGGCGAAGGCAGCCCCCUGGGCUAACACUGACGCUCAUGCACGAAAGCGUGGGGAGCAAACAGG
RNAcentral lists this ribosomal RNA (253 nucleotides) under uncultured bacterium. RNAcentral describes it as "partial 16S ribosomal RNA". It matches the Rfam family "Bacterial small subunit ribosomal RNA", at positions 524 to 776 of the family's 1533-position model. The record is from RNAcentral.